Long non-coding RNA from Corticium candelabrum, 710 nucleotides. RefSeq lists it as uncharacterized. The record is from RefSeq and is a predicted model, not a curated record. Lineage: Eukaryota; Metazoa; Porifera; Homoscleromorpha; Homosclerophorida; Plakinidae. The transcript is spliced from 3 exons.
ACCGCGGCGCCGGUUUGGUUCGCUUUUGAUGCAUUGGCGUUUGCUAACUGCGUGAGUCUAGAGCCAAAGCAACAAUUUUUCUUUUCGAACUUUAACCGGUGCGUAUAGCGAUGCAUCGAAUCAGGUGAGGCCUCAUUAGGACUCGGCUCUUGUGUGUUUUGCGUGUUUUGCAGUGAUGAACGACCUCUUUCUGAUCUCUUUCGUGACUCUACCGCGUCAUUUUGAGUGAUGAUUUAACACCGAGACUUGACAGACGUCAAAUGCGGGUACAAACUACCUCCUGAAUACUUCCUAGAAAGUGCGGCAUCUAGGGAAUGACUGAUGUGAAGAGGAAUUCUUUAGACAAGUCUGGUGGUACUGAGAGCUGUACGUGGCUGUCAUAUAAAUGAACCAGUCACUCAGUGUUGCUGUACUGUGUUUUACCUUUUGGAGUGUGUAGUUGCCGUGCCAUCAUGGUGUACCAAUGUAUCUGCAAAGGGGAAAUAGUUGAAGUUUCACAUGGAAAUUUUUGUCACAUGGAUAAACUUUAUUACCAUUUGAAUGACGUUGACUGGUGGUUGCCAAGGGAUACUCUACAUUGAAGUCUACCACAGUCAUUUAGAGAGACUUUCCCGAAAAAGACCUGCAUCAUUGAUGCAACAUAACUAUUUACAGAACGUCAUUCAGAUAGAAGUUUGCAAUCAGCUUCCUUCUCCAGACACAAACACCAC